Molecule: non-coding RNA, 158 nt
Organism: Procambarus clarkii (red swamp crayfish)
Lineage: Eukaryota; Metazoa; Arthropoda; Malacostraca; Decapoda; Cambaridae
Source: RefSeq, a predicted model, not a curated record
GUCAGUCUGGCCGUGGACGCCGCGCCGUACAGACGGGCAGGAAUAAAAUAAAGUGUAUGAGCUGAAAAUCCUAUGAACUCUCGAGUGUAUUAUUGAUCAUGAAAACAGUUUUUGAAAAUAAUCCUAAAUUUAGGUUUGAGUUAUAUCUCCGGUGAAUU